RNAcentral lists this ribosomal RNA (253 nucleotides) under uncultured bacterium. RNAcentral describes it as "partial 16S ribosomal RNA". It matches the Rfam family "Bacterial small subunit ribosomal RNA", at positions 524 to 776 of the family's 1533-position model. The record is from RNAcentral.
UACAGAGGGGGCAAGCGUUGUUCGGAAUUACUGGGCGUAAAGGGCGCGUAGGCGGCCUGCUAAGUCGAACGUGAAAUCCCCGGGCUCAACCCGGGAACUGCGUCCGAGACUGGCGGGCUUGAAUUCGGGAGAGGGAUGCGGAAUUCCAGGUGUAGCGGUGAAAUGCGUAGAUAUCUGGAGGAACACCGGUGGCGAAGGCGGCAUCCUGGACCGAUAUUGACGCUGAUGCGCGAAAGCCAGGGGAGCAAGCGGG